CUGAGGCCUGGAAACAGAGAACGGUGGGACCAAGGUCACAUGAUGGCGGAAGGAGGACAAGGAAGGAGGCUGACUGCGUAUCCAGCACGUGUUCCGUGCCAAGCCUGUGCAGGGGCCAAGGACCGGGGUCUCUGGACAGCGCCGGUUGCUGGGUCCCACGCUGGGCGACAGGGCCUUUGCAAUCAGGCCGACAGGGUUUGAACCCUUGCCGCGGCACUUUCCAGAUGGCCUUGGCCACUGUCCCCUCUCUGACCUUCAGAUGGAGCCCAUGGCACCUCCGGAGGGGGUGUGUGCUUCCAGGACCAAAUCCACUUGUGCGUGGUUAGGCACGAGGUGGGGGGAGGCGGCUCAGCCACCGGGACCUGUCCUGCCUCCACCCUCUGUGCAACCCCUUUCCUUGCCUUUUGUCUCUGUUGCUUUUGGGGGGUGAUUAGCCGCUAGCUCAGCGGCUAGAGGAUUCUCUCCCGGAAAAGGCUCCGGAGUUGAGGCCCAGACCCCCAGGGCAAGACGGAAUCUGCUCCCCAGGGCACUAACUGAGACUCGGUUCCCUCACUGGUAAAAUGAGAAAACUCACUUAUGGUCAGGGGUCCCCGAGUUAAUGCCAGUGAAUUCCUUGGCAGAGCAUCAAGCACUUGGAGAAGCCCCCACCCCCGGUCAUUGUGAUGAUGGUUUGUUUGUUUGUUUGUUUGUUUUGAGACGGAGUCUCGCUCUGUCGCCCAGGCUGGAGUGCAGUGGCGCGAUCUCGGCUCACUGCAAGCUCUGCCUCCCGGGUUCACGCCAUUCAGGGGAGUGGCGCCGAGACACCGUGUAGCGCCCAUGCCAAGGAGGAAGCGAGACAGCAGGAGCGGAGGAAAGAACCCCGGGCUGUGUUGAGGAAGCCUCCUACUUUUGCCUGAAGUGAGCCACCCAGGACUUUGUGACCACAGCCCUAGCAAACGAAUACGCCGCAUUUCACAGGGCCCUACAGACAGGAGAUGGGAUCUAAGGGAAUUAACCUACUUGCAAGCAGAAAUGAAAGGGAAAGAGAAAAUCCAGAAAUGUUGGAUUUGCAGGAUUGAAAAAGGCAACUAUUCCUCAUCUCGGUCCAAUGAAAGAGCAACUAAGUCUCCUAUAGAGAGAAGCGUUGACUGGGGACACUCGCUGCUUGCGUUUUGCUGGUAGCUGGGCUGGAAGGUCCACAAAGGUUCACUUCAUCCUCAGCCUCGGAAGUCACACAGCGUCGCUUCUGCUGCAUCCUGUUGAUGAAAGCCAGUCCUGGAGUCAGCCCAGAUCCAAGGGGAGGAGGAAAAGACUCCAGGUCUUGCUGAGAGUAAUGACUAAGAAUCUGCAGCCAUCUCCAAUCCACCACGCCCAUGCAAGAGACGGGAGUGAUAUUUGCAACCAAGAUGGUGAACGGCAGCAGAUUGGUCACUGUUUCCAGUUAUUCACCAUCCCCUCAGUGAGAGGAUUAUCCAUCCUGCCCCAUUGCUACGUGACAUGCAGAGCAUCCAGUGCUGGGUACACUUCCCCUCCCCACCAAAUCAUGUUUGGCCACGUGACUUGCGUUAGCCAGUGAAUCCGGAGCCCAAGUCCUAGCAGGCCAUUCAAAAGAGAAGCUUCAAGAGCCAUCACGUGGGUUGGCCAGCCUGCCUGCACUUUUCCCUUUAAACAGAGCUGCGUUUUCUAGAGAGAGGCCUCACACAAGCCUCCCUGUUCCACAGAAUACAAAUCCAAUUGGUAAGUCUUCUAUCCA
RNAcentral lists this long non-coding RNA (1732 nucleotides) under Homo sapiens (human). Its description in RNAcentral is "HSALNT0155949". Lineage: Eukaryota; Metazoa; Chordata; Mammalia; Primates; Hominidae. The record is from RNAcentral.